AAAAAAAAGAAGCCGAGCCCAGUGUGUGUUCAUUCUUUGAUGAACUAAUGAGAAAAUGAUCGGAAAUGGUGCUACGGAACUGAUACGGUUAUGAUUGCACAGAUGCUAACGGCACCAUCGAUAUUUGAACCAGGGGCCAGCCCUUCAAUUGGCACCUGACAUGUGUGACACUGGACAGCCCCACCCCAAUGCAGCAGAACUCCAUCCUCCACAAACAGCCAGACAUUCACCCCUCCUUAUCCGAGCCUGCAACCUUGCUGACAUGUCCAGAACUCACCGGACAUCUGGGAAACUGAAGUUCAGAGAGGGUGGGGAUCUUCCUCAGGCUGAAAGGGAGCUAGCACACAACGCUGGGUAGGAUUCAUUCUUGCCAGGCAACUGGUUCUUGUCAUGUCUAACACGUUCUGGGCCCUGAGGAGUCAGAAGGGCUCCAUGCACAGAGUUAUGCCAGUGGUCAGCUUCAGGUGGCCUCCAGCAAGAAAUUCUGGGAAGUUUGCUGGGGUCAGGAUCUGGGUCCCUGGAGUUUGAAGCCAGCCUGUCCAUUUCUCUGCCAUACAGCCUCAGCCCCAGGAGAAGCCAUGUCCUCUCGACUUCUGACUUCAGCUACAGAGCAUGGAAGGAGCCAGCCCCUGGGGAGUAGCUCUGAAGACUGUUUGCAAGAUGAAAACUUGGGCGGGUGAUAUGGCUCAGUAGGUAAAGGAGCUUGCCACCAAGCCCAACAACCUGAGUUCAAUUCUUGAGACCCGAGUGAUGAAAGAAGAGAACAGUUCUCCCAAGUUGUCCUCUGAUCUCUGUGUCCACACAUGGCCACUUGCACACACCUGCCCACAUGCAUGCAUGUUCACAAAACAAAUUAAAAUGUGAUUAAAAAAAUAAAAGCAAAUCCGUACAC
RNAcentral lists this long non-coding RNA (892 nucleotides) under Rattus norvegicus (Norway rat). RNAcentral's name for it is "long non-coding RNA NONRATT018908". Lineage: Eukaryota; Metazoa; Chordata; Mammalia; Rodentia; Muridae. The record is from RNAcentral.